Molecule: ribosomal RNA, 458 nt
Filed under: uncultured bacterium
Lineage: Bacteria
Description: bacterial SSU rRNA
Rfam family: Bacterial small subunit ribosomal RNA (bases 99-458)
Source: RNAcentral
UGGUGGUUGUGGUCGAGAGUGGCUUAGGUUGCUCUGGUUUCACAAUGAUUAGGUGCUCAUGCUGAUGUAAGUCAGUUAUUUGAGUACUUUGCUGGAUUGAACUUAAGAGUUUGAUCCUGGCUCAGAUUGAACGCUGGCGGCAUGCUUUACACAUGCAAGUCGAACGGCAGCGGGGGCUUCGGCCUGCCGGCGAGUGGCGAACGGGGUGAGUAAUGCAUCGGAACGUGCCCAUGUCGUGGGGGAUAACGUAUCGAAAGGUACGCUAAUACCGCAUACGUCCUGAGGGGAGAAAGCGGGGGAUCUUCGGACCUCGCGCGAUUGGAGCGGCCGAUGUCGGAUUAGCUAGUAGGUGAGGUAAAGGCUCACCUAGGCGACGAUCCGUAGCGGGGUCUGAGAGGAUGAUCCGCCACACUGGGACUGAGACACGGCCCAGACUCCUACGGGAGGCAGCAGUGGGG